CGGGGUGCAGCAGGCGCGAAAACUUUGCAAUACACGAAAGUGUGACAGGGCUAUCCCGAGUGCCAUCCGCUGAGGAAGGCUUUUACCCAGUCUAGAACGCUGGGGGAAUAAGGAGAGGGCAAGUCUGGUGUCAGCCGCCGCGGUAAUACCAGCUCUCCGAGUGGUGUGGAUGUUUAUUGGGCCUAAAGCAUCCGUAGCUGGCUAAGUUAGUCCCUUGUUAAAUCCACCGAAUUAAUCGUUGGAUUGCGGGGGAUACUGCUUGGCUAGGGGACGAGAGAGGCAGACGGUAUUUCCGGGGUAGGGGUGAAAUCCUAUAAUCCCGGGAAGACCACCGGUGGCGAAGGCUGUCUGCUAGAACGCGCCCGACGGUGAGGGAUGAAAGCUGGGGGAGCGAACCGGAUUAGAUACCCGGGUAGUCCCAGCUGUAAACGAUGCAGGCUAGGUGUUUGGACGGCCACGUGCCGUUCUAGUGCCGCAGGGAAGCUGUUAAGCCUGCCGCCUGGGGAGUACGAUCGCAAGAUUGAAACUUAAAGGAAUUGGCGGGGGAGCAC
This 551-nucleotide ribosomal RNA is filed under the name uncultured archaeon. RNAcentral's name for it is "bacterial SSU rRNA". It matches the Rfam family "Archaeal small subunit ribosomal RNA", at positions 326 to 879 of the family's 1478-position model. The record is from RNAcentral.